This 452-nucleotide ribosomal RNA is filed under the name uncultured bacterium. Its description in RNAcentral is "partial 16S ribosomal RNA". It matches the Rfam family "Bacterial small subunit ribosomal RNA", at positions 28 to 507 of the family's 1533-position model. The record is from RNAcentral.
GAUGAACGCUGGCGGCGUGCCUAACACAUGCAAGUCGAGCGAUUUACUUCGGUAAAGAGCGGCGGACGGGUGCGUAACGCGUGGGUAACCUGCCCUGUACACACGGAUAACAUACCGAAAGGUAUGCUAAUACGAGAUAAUAUGCUUUUAUCGCAUGGUAGAAGUAUCAAAGCUUUUGCGGUACAGGAUGGACCCGCGUCUGAUUAGCUAGUUGGUGAGGUAACGGCUCACCAAGGCGACGAUCAGUAGCCGACCUGAGAGGGUGAUCGGCCACAUUGGAACUGAGACACGGUCCAAACUCCUACGGGAGGCAGCAGUGGGGAAUAUUGCACAAUGGGCGAAAGCCUGAUGCAGCAACGCCGCGUGAGCGAUGAAGGCCUUCGGGUCGUAAAGCUCUGUCCUCAAGGAAGAUAAUGACGGUACUUGAGGAGGAAGCCCCGGCUAACUACGUG